This 424-nucleotide ribosomal RNA is filed under the name uncultured bacterium. RNAcentral's name for it is "partial 16S ribosomal RNA". It matches the Rfam family "Bacterial small subunit ribosomal RNA", at positions 354 to 796 of the family's 1533-position model. The record is from RNAcentral.
GUGGGGAAUCUUAGACAAUGGGCGCAAGCCUGAUCUAGCCAUGCCGCGUGAGCGAUGAAGGCCUUAGGGUUGUAAAGCUCUUUCAGGGGGGAAGAUAAUGACGGUACCCCCAGAAGAAGCCCCGGCUAACUCCGUGCCAGCAGCCGCGGUAAUACGGAGGGGGCUAGCGUUGUUCGGAAUUACUGGGCGUAAAGCGCACGUAGGCGGACCAGAAAGUCAGGGGUGAAAUCCCGGGGCUCAACCCCGGAACUGCCUUUGAAACUCCUGGUCUUGAGGUCGAGAGAGGUGAGUGGAAUUCCGAGUGUAGAGGUGAAAUUCGUAGAUAUUCGGAGGAACACCAGUGGCGAAGGCGGCUCACUGGCUCGAUACUGACGCUGAGGUGCGAAAGCGUGGGGAGCAAACAGGAUUAGAAACCCCUGUGUCC